GCUGGGUAUGGUGGCACGUGCCUGUAAUCGCAGCAGCUCAAGAGGCUGAGACAGGAGGAUCACGAGUUUAAAGCCAACAUCAGGAAUGGGGAGUUGCUAGGCAACUCAGUGAGACCCUGUCUCUA
Molecule: small RNA, 125 nt
Filed under: Marmota monax (woodchuck)
Lineage: Eukaryota; Metazoa; Chordata; Mammalia; Rodentia; Sciuridae
Source: RNAcentral